GUUUAUUUGUUUAUUUAAAAGGAUCCCCAUUAGCUGACGCCAAAACUUCAGCUAGUCUUCCUGGGGUCCAGACAAUAAAAUACAAAGGCAAACAUUACAAUAUCAGCUCAUAAAAUACAUAUUUUUAAAUAAAAUUUACAAAUAAA
This is a long non-coding RNA of Thalassophryne amazonica, 146 nucleotides long. RefSeq lists it as uncharacterized. Lineage: Eukaryota; Metazoa; Chordata; Actinopteri; Batrachoidiformes; Batrachoididae. The record is from RefSeq and is a predicted model, not a curated record. The transcript is spliced from 2 exons.